GACGAACGCUGGCGGCGUGCCUAAUACAUGCAAGUUGAGCGCUGAAGGUUGGUACUUGUACCAACUGGAUGAGCAGCGAACGGGUGAGUAACGCGUGGGGAAUCUGCCUUUGAGCGGGGGACAACAUUUGGAAACGAAUGCUAAUACCGCAUAAAAACUUUAAACACAAGUUUUAAGUUUGAAAGAUGCAAUUGCAUCACUCAAAGAUGAUCUCGCGUUGUCUUAGCUAGUUGGUGAGGUAAAGGCUCACCAAGGCGAUGAUACAUAGCCGACCUGAGAGGGGGGUCGGCCACAAUGGGACUGGGACACGGCCCAAACUCCUACGGGAGGCAGCAGUAGGGGAUCUUCGGCAAUGGAGGGAAGUCUGGCCGAGCAACGCCGCGGGAGUGAAGAAGGUUUUCGGAUCGUAAAACUCUGUUGGUAGGGAAGAAAGUUGGUGGGAGUGAAAAGCUCAUCAAGUGACGGUAACUACCCAGAAAGGGACGGCUAACUACGUG
This 497-nucleotide ribosomal RNA is filed under the name uncultured bacterium. RNAcentral describes it as "partial 16S ribosomal RNA". It matches the Rfam family "Bacterial small subunit ribosomal RNA", at positions 28 to 507 of the family's 1533-position model. The record is from RNAcentral.